Molecule: long non-coding RNA, 1101 nt
Organism: Branchiostoma floridae (Florida lancelet)
Lineage: Eukaryota; Metazoa; Chordata; Leptocardii; Amphioxiformes; Branchiostomatidae
Exons: 2
Source: RefSeq, a predicted model, not a curated record
AAAUGGAUAAUCAGGUACAGAAUACAAUCUUGGACCUUCGAAAAGUUCGCCUUUGACCUACAAUAAGUUCACCUUUGACCUGUAAAUUCUCAUAAAAGCGCUUGGAGGAUUGUGUGUAGGUUUUCAACCAACAUUGGAAGCAGGCCAGACAUGGCAGAGGCAGUAAAGAGGUCUCCCACCACUGUUCCAGGCAACUUUUCUAAUAGGUGUCCUGUUGGAGUUUCAUCGGACUUGGCUGCUGGCAUGUUGGAGGACAAGCUGACAGGAACCCAAAGCAGGUUGGACAACGAUUCAGAAGGUCAUAUUGGCAGGAAACUGAAUAUGUGUGGCAAGUUUGAGCACAGAACAGCACAAAAGUCUCACUUAUCAAAACAUGUAAGAACUCAUACCAGUGAGAAGCCCUACCAAUGUGACCUGUGUGACUAUUCUGCUGCUCAAAAAAGUUAUUUGGAUGAACAUGUAGCUAAACACACCGGUGAGAAACCCUACAUGUGUGGGGAGUGCGGGUACAGGACAGCUAACAAAGCAUGUGAAAACCCAUACAGGUGAAAAACCCUACAAGUGUGACCUUUGUGACUAUUCUGCUGCUCAGAAAGUCGCUUUAGACAAACAUGUAGCCAAACACACUGGUGAGAAACCCUACAUGUGUGGUGAGUGUGGGUACAGGACAGCUGACAGGGCUAACUUAUCCAGACAUAUGAGAACUCAUACAGGUUUAAGACCCUACAAGUGCGACCUGUGUGACUAUUCUGCUGCUCGGAAAUUCAAUUUGGACAAACACGUAGCAAAACACACCGGUGAGAAACACUACGUCUGUGGUGAGUGUUGGUACAGGACAGUUAAAAAGUCUGCCUUGUCUGUACAUAUGAGAACUCAUACAGGUGAAAAACCUUACAAGUGUGAAAAAUGUGACUAUUUUUGUACUUUAGAAUCCAGUUUGGACCGUCACAUAGAGAAACAUUCUGGUGAAAAACCUUACAUGUGUGGGUAGUGUGGGUACAGGACAGCACGGAAGUCUCACUUAUCCAAACAUGUAAGAACUCAUACCAGUGAGAAGCCCUACAAGUGUGACCUGUGUGACUAUUCUUCUGCUCAAAAAAA